This 43748-nucleotide long non-coding RNA is filed under the name Populus trichocarpa (black cottonwood). RNAcentral describes it as "long non-coding RNA (PTRI_LNC000266)". Lineage: Eukaryota; Viridiplantae; Streptophyta; Magnoliopsida; Malpighiales; Salicaceae. The record is from RNAcentral.
AGUAAUACAACCAUUUAUAGUCCAAAUACUGACAAGGUUACCUUGAGACUUCACAGCAUUUCAAAUUCAUGUGGUCUGCUAAUGGAACACAUUUGAGAUUAUCUAUCACCUUCCAUAAUCUGUAUGAAUGACUUGAUCCGGUUGCUAGCAAUCUGAAAAAUAAAUCUGCAUUGUUCCCUCUUAUGAAGAGUCAGAGGGAACUUCCAAGCAUAAGGAUCCAGAAAUUGGAGUAUGUCAGUGUGCAUGAAGUUACUGGAAAGGUAAUUAGCUAAUGGCAUGUCUCAGUUACUAUCCUGUGCAGACAAGCUGUCUAUCUGAGUCCCAUCUGCCUCAAAGUUGUCAGUUUGUUGCAUCCUUCUAUCGCCAGCAGCUAAACUGCUCAAGUGCUUCCAAUGACCAUACAACUCCUUCACUGCAGCAAGCCAGCCUGAAACUCCUAAACAAUGUGAAGGAGGCAAGGGAGGAGAGAUUAGUCAUACGUCUGAGAAUCAUCUGAUUACACUUCUAUGUGAAGUUUAUGAAAAGACGGAGAGGGGAUAGUCUUAUUCGAAUCUCUUAACUGUGGACAAGCAGAAAUGUAAAGAUCUUCGGACAAGUUUUCUAACAAAAGCUUAUGGAGACAAGAAAAACUUAUCACGAGAAGUCCAGACUUCUCAAUCCAACACGUUCCUGAACGGUAGAGUUUCUAGAGAUUGGAAAGGCUUGAAAGGAGAACCAGGCCCAUAAAACUUAUUACCCACAGAUAGAACUCUAUCUGCGCCUCUAUGAUCAAGUGUCUGAGUGUGGAUAAUUGACGCAGUGAAUGGAAACAAUGUGCAUUAUCUACAACAACGGAUAUCCAGCCUUAUUAGACUUGGGAUCGAUUACCAGUACAAGAUGGUAAUUCUAUACCACCAUAUAACGCAAGUGUGAGCUUUUACAGAUUUUAAGAGUUUGCAACAAUAAGAUGAUAAGAUUUUCUUCCUUUUAUUUGGGUGUGCAGCAGAAUCCAGCAGUCCAUUGCAUAUCUAUCUUAUUAAUGCCAUGCUUAGUUUCCAAACUGGCUACUCUUGCAUCUUCAGUGCGCGCCAUAAAAUAUUUGAAGUUGUUGAAUUGAAAGUUGUCCAUGAAGAUGCACCUAUUCUCUUAACUCCCCUAGUCUGAGCCCAUCUCCAACAUAAAACUUGCCUCCCCUUCGGAGACGCGUCAAAUCCUCUGACAAUAGGAUUCGUGUUGUUUACCGGCUUUCAGCUGUUCUUCUCUUCAUAAUAAUUUUUUACAUGCCUUCUUUCUUUCGUUUUUAUCAUACUUUACAUGUUUUUUUCUGAUAAAAAAAAUGCGUUUGCUUUCUAAAAGUAAACUCGCUUCUUUUUUUAAAGUUAACAUUCGAGUUCAACUCCAAGCCUACUUACUACCAACCAUGUGGGGAUUGGAAGCCAAUUCUGUCUUGUACCAGUGUACUUCUUACCUUUUUUCCAAACCUUUUUUCUCUCAUGCCAGCCUUCAACCCCCUGGCCUAUAACAUGAUAAUCAAAUUCAUAUCUGAAGGUAGACGGAAUUGGGAAAUUCAUCAAUUUUAAACAUCAACGUCUUUUCUCACUUCAGUGACUAAUGAAAUAGAUUGUUCCCCCCCUCCCCUUCUGAAAAAUAUAAGCAAGACAAGAAAGAAGAGAACAUUGAAACGAGACACAUUGAAGAGUCUACCCCUGUGUACUAAUUUCCUCAAUUACAACUCUCAGAGGGUUCUGAAAAUUUUCAGUCAAUACAGUACAAUCAAUUAAUGGAGGAGUAGAACACUCAAUCCUCAAUUGUAAUGGGGAAUACGAACCAAAUAAUCAGCAAGUCUUUGACUCUAGCUCCGUCCCUAGGAAUGCCAUUAAAGCAGCCAGCUCCACAUACGCCUUUUCAAAAGCUUUACACCGAUCCAACGAGGGCAAGAACAGCUGAAAGCCGGUAAACAACACGAAUCCUAUUGUCAGAGGCCCUGAUACCAGCCGUGGCAAUUGCCAUCGGCCACCAAAUCGCUUCUUUAAAGCAAUCUCAGUUAAUAGACACACUCCAUGGAGGAGAAAGAAGCAUGUGAGCUCCCAUGGGGACCUCUGAUCACACCCCACAUAGUAGAAAAGGAUCAGCUCGUGCAUGAGUCCUGACACAAGAAAUGUCCCCAUGAAGGCAGGAAUUAGUGCCCACUUUCUGCCAACAACUAGUGAAGCAAGAUUGCGUGUUGGUUUGUACACGGCAGGUCGUAAAAUAUUUGAAACAAUGAGAUUCCAUCUUCUACCCCAUAAAUCUUGUAAUGAGGUUGAGAGGUAUGGCUUAUGGAUGCCAGACACAAGGCUUAUGGGCACGGGACCCAAGUCUCUUGGGUCUGGCAUGGCUGCAGACCCCAGGUACUUGGGUCUGGGAUGGCCGCCAGACCCAAGUUGCAUGGGUCUGGUAUGGCCGCCAGAUCCAAGGUACUUAAAAUAUUCUCUAUACUUUUAAUAUUUUUUUUACAUUUAAAAAAAAAUUGAUAUUGACCCGUUGCGGAGCACGAGCCAAUAUACUAUUAUAUAAGAAAAAAAGUGAGAAGACAUGUUAUCCUUGUUGGAGGGCGUGUUGUCUACUACAAUUGUUUCAUCAAAACUAUGUGGGUGUUUAAGAAUAUGGUUGUAGUUACUUUUUAAAGUAUCGUUUCAUUCAGAAAUGUAUUAAAAUAAUAUAUAUAUAUCUUUUCAAAAAAGAUUUUUAUGCUGCCUAUAAUUCUAUAAAAUGAAUUUGGUUUUUUCAACACUUUCUCCAACAAAGAAGUGAGAUGCAAAAACAAUUUUAUAAUUUCAUUGAGUUACAUAAAGUACAAAUUCUAUUCUUUGAUUGGUUCGAAUUGCAUUAUAUAUCUGAACAUCACAUUUCAUAUCCUUUUGCAUCCAUCAAACUUGCAUGCCCGGUCACAUCAAGAUCCAAAACCCCUAUAUGGAACCUCACCAGUGGACCAACAGUUGACUCUGAACAUCCACCCUUGAGAAAUAUCCAAAUAACCCACAACAACCAGACUGUAGAUGCAGCUCCCUACAAAUUACCCAGUGAUGACACCUUUUCAAAUACCAAACACAUUAUCAACCAAAAUAACUUUACAAACACCAACCUCAAUACCUUAGGCAAAUAGCUUACCCGACUGGAAAAACAAAUACAAAGAACUACUAUCAGCUUAGUUGACACCAAAACCUCAAUUGACCUGAAACUAAAAAACUAGCAGAUCUUAAGACCUUCUUUUUGGGUGAAGCUCACAAGUUCACUGUAUGUAAGCUGGUCAUAUGGUAUGAUUUUGGCUGUAAAGGUAUCUUUGAUUUUGUUUCUGACCUUUUCUCCUAAGAGAAUAGGUAAGCCUGCAAGGAAUUUUACUUUCCAAAAAGGUUGGUUUGAAUCUUCCCUAAGCAUGACACGGGUAAGGAAGGCGUUUUUAUACCAUUAAAAGUCGCUUAGCUUCUUACAUCUAAGGUUGGAAAGGAGUUCAUCAAAUAAUACAAAACACAACAUAGUACGUGGCGUUGUUAUACCUAAGAAUGAUCUUUAGAUCGAGUCACAGGUUUCCAGCCUAUAUACUGAGUUUGUAGAGAAAGAAGAAAAGAAAACAGGUAACUUUCUGAUGCAAAUGAACAAGGCAAGACCAGCAAUGUCAGGAUCCUUGAUCAAACACAAAGCAUACUUAAUUUGCAAUUAAAGAAAGAUAAAGAAUAUAUGUAAAGAUUCAGAAGUUCAAAGAAAUAAACCUUGAAAUUUGUAUUGAUACAAAGGAUAUGAUAAUUUGCAGGAGAUAUGAGUUACAAUUUUGGGAAUUGGUACAAGAAGGAUAAGAAUUACAGAGGAAUAAUAUGAUUCGUCUGCAGAGAAACUAGAUAUGGAUCAAUCUUGUUCUUUGUUAUCUUGGACUUGUUUAAGAAUCCCACCAUAUCCUAGGUCUGAGGCAUCGGUCUCGACGAUCUUAGGAGCUAACGGGUUAGCCAAAUGGAGGAGAGGAAUGGUUUGGACCUGUUUCUUGAUCUAUUUGACGAGGUUGGUAUGGAGGUCAGACCAAGGAAUCGGGUUGGUUUUUAACCUAUCAUGUAAAGGUUUGGCAAGAUGACUAAUGUUUGGAUAAUAGUCUAAAACAUAAUUAAGACUGCCUAAAAACCUUUGCAACUGGUUUUUAUCAGUAAUCUUAUCAUGGAAUUUAUUUGUAAAAGAUAAAGAUCUCUCUAUGGGUGUUAUAGUACCUUGACAGAUAUAAUAUCCUAGGAAAUGAACACGGGUUUGAAAUAGAGAAAUUUUGGAUUUAGAAACAACUAAACCAUUUUGUUUUGCAGUAUGAAAGAAUGUAUGUAGAUGUUUGAAAUGUUGAUUUAUGGAAUGAGAAAAAUUAAGAACAUCAUCAAUGUAAACAAUGCAGAAUUUUGAAUGUGCAUUGAAAAUGUCAAUGUGUUGUAAAACCAAUAGAUACACCACCUAUGAAGAGAAUUUCAUCUCUAAUUUACAGUUAGAGAUGAACUGUCAAUAUGUUGUAAGUGUGUUUCAGCUCAUCUAUUUAUGUCACUAUUCCAAAAGUAAAUGGUGGGAUUUCUUUGCAGCUGAAUCCAAAAGUUUCAAAUUAGCUGUUACAGAAUGGUUACAAAAGAAUCAAACAGCUCCCAUCAUUGAUCAUCAUCCUCAAUCCAAAUUUCUAGCCCUAAAAGCUCAAACGGCAGCUCUCCUUGCCUCCGCUAGAACUGAGGAAGAAUACCUCCAAAUAGUACAAGACAUUAUACAAAGCCAAGACCGUAAAACAGUCUUGUCUCAAUCCAGAAGCCGAAUUUCAUAUCAAAUUUGGAAAAGAUAAAUGCAUAAUGUAAUUUUUGCAAUAAAUUUUUUUUGUUUGGAAUUGGAUACCUAAUCCAUUUUAAAGCAGAAUUUAAAGGUUUGUAAUUGAUCACAAGUCUUGGUGUGCCUCUUUCAAUCUCAGAGUUUUUAUUUACAUAAAAGGCUGCACACGACCAAGGUGAUCGCGACUUUUGGAUAAGACCUUUAGACUUGAGAUCUUGGAUUUCAAGUCUACAAUGUUGUUCUAAAUCAGCAUUCAUCUGUAUAGGUCUUGCUUUUGUAGGUAUGUGUUUUUAUGAAAAAGUAUCUUCAUAAGGAAGAUCAAUAAUGUGUUGUUUUCUUUUCUAGAAAGCAUUGGGUAAGUCUGAACAGAUUUGUUGUUCAAUCUUACUUUGUAAAUCAGUGAUUUUCUUUUGUAAAACAGAUCACUUUUGUAAUUGUUUCUCAAUGUGACAAAAGGAAACAUGGUUUUGUAAAUAAUGCAAUUGGAAUUGUUUACUAUGAAUUAAUGCGUUUAUAUGAUAUGUAUGGAUAGAGCAUGCUUUGAUCAAAUUUAAAUUCCUAGUCUUAGAUUUUUCUAGAAAUGGGAAAACAAGUUUGAUGCUUUUGAUUUUGGAGGUAAUGCAGUCAUGAUGUGCUUUGUAUGGAGUAAUCAUAUCAAUAAAUAGAGUACCAAGAAUGAUGGUAUGAUUAAUAUCUUUUGUAACAACAAAGAAUGUUUUAAGAGAAAUGCUUUUGUUGAAAACAGAGGCUUGGGUUUUGCCUGCAAUAUGUAAUUUUAAAUUGUUAGCGGUAGAGAGUUUUUCAGAGGUAUUUUGGAAAAAUCGUUUUGGAACUACGCAUUCUUUAAUGCAGUUUAAAUCUACACCUAUGUCAAAUAAGGCAAUAAUAUCUAGUUUGAAAUCGUCUGAAAAAACUAAUGUAAUUUUAAUCAAGUAUUUUUUGGAAGAUAUUUGGGUUAACACAUUCAAGAAAUUGUCAGGAAUAUGUUCAAUGUUUGUAAGUGCAUGAGGUAAUAUAUGAGACUCAAUGUUUUGGUCGUCUGGUUCGGAUUCAGUGUCAGACUGACUUUCAGUUUUGGGCAGAAGAUGUUGUAAUAUGGCAAAGUCUUUCUGUUGGGCUUGUUUUAGGGUUUGUAACUCGGAUUUGAGGGUUUUGAUCUUAGAAUGUAAUUCUGGGAUUGUGACUGUGGUUUUGGAUUUCUUUUUAUUAAGGAUCUUUGUAAGGUCAUAGGUAUUGGUACUGGUGGAGGGUAAUACAGAGCGAUUUGAAGGGUUAGAAGGAAGAUGCUCUGGUUUGUUGAAAUCUUUUAACAGCUUAUCUAAAUAGGUUUUUUGGAGCAUUCACCUAUGAACUAAGGUUCUCUUCUCUCUCUAGGGUCUUUGUAAUUUAUGUCACUAUUCCUACCCAGAUCCCAAUGUAAACAAAUUUAUGUCACCUAUGAAGAGAAGGUUGGAGAUGUGGGAGGUGAUUGUUGUUCAAUGUUUGUAUACACUGGUUUUGGUAUAUUUGUAGUGUAAUCUGCAUGUUGGAAACUUGCAGAAGGGAUAUCUGAUGUAGAGUGUCUAGGUAGGUUUGGAUGAUAUGGAAUGUUAAUGACAGAAGGUAUUUUGGAUAUUCUUCCAAGAUCUACUGUGCUGGAAGAGGAAGAUUCUUCAGAGAAUCUGGAACUUGUAGAAUGACGAUGGAAUGACAAUUUGACUUUACCAUCUGUGUAUUGGGUUAUGUCCUUGAUUUGGACAUUUGGUUAUGGUUGUUGUGGUAUUUCUGGUGGGGUUACUCCUUCAAGGAUCCAAUCAUCUGGAAGGGUUAUAUCUUUCCAUUGGAUAGCUUUUGGAAUGACUGUGUUUGAUCGGGAUAGAUCUGUUUGGAGAAGGAGUGUUUCUCCUUUCUGGGAUUGGUAUUUGUGUUUACUGGUAAAGGCUGAGAACAUGACUUUGUAAUGGAUUUUGAAAAUAAGAGCAACGAGGAUGGAUCCUUCAAGCAUAUUGUAAUUAUGGGUUUUGAUUUAUAGUAUCAUGCUUUGUAAGAUGUUUCUGUCUUUGAGAGAUAUAGUAAUAUUUGGAUAGCAGUCAAAAGAUACUGGACCGCUACAGAGGUUAGACUCAAUAGAACUGAGGAGUGAGUCUUGGAAAUUAUGGAAUCUAGCAUCUCGAAGGACAACCAGAAUGGAGGUGUUUAAACCUUUUUUUGUAAGGGGUUUUAUACUGACUUGGACUAGACCAACAUGAAUAUAUUUGUAGUUUCUAGCUAGGUGUUUUUGCAUGGAUUUUUUGGAGAGGAGUUGAAUGGUCUCAAAAGGUUUUGUAAGCUGAAUAUCUCUUUCUUUAGUUUUAAUUGUAAAUCUAUUUUGAAAAUAUCAUAUUUUGAUUUUUGAUAAAUCUGUAUUUGAGAAAUUUUUGAAAUUUUCCAUUCAUCAAUGUUUUUUUGUAAAAUCUUCAAUGGUUAUUUUCUCACUUUGUACAAUCCUCUUAUUCUCGGAGGUUUCAGAUGUAGAAGAAGCCGAAACAGAAGUAGAUCUAUAAAAAACAGAAUCCAUAGUUUGAAAAGAUAAUUUAGAAAACAGGCUGCAAGUUAUAUGGGUUUACUGCCCUAAUCACUCAACGAGACUUACACCAUUUAGUAGCAUUCACUUAUUAACUAAGGUUCUCUUCUCUCUCUAGGGUCUUUAUAAUUUAUGUCACUAUUCCUACCCAGAUCCCAAUAGGCUAUGAUACCAAUAGAUACACUACCAUGUGUUGUAAAUUCAAAAUCAAAUGGUGGGAUUCCUUUGCAGCUGAAUCCAAAAGUUCCAAAUUAGCUGUUAUGGAAUGGUUACAAAAGAAUCUGAUACCAAUAGAUGAGCUGAAUAUCCCUUUCUUCAGUUUUAAUUGUAAAAUCUAUUUUGAAAAUAUCAUAUUUUGAUUUUUGAUAAAUUUGUGUUUGAGAAAUUUUUGGAAUUUUCCAGUCAUCAAUGUUUUUUGUAAAAUCUUCAAUGGUUAUUUCCUCACUUUGUACAAUCCUCUUAUUCUCGGAAGUUUCAGAUGUAGAAGAAGUCGAAACAGAAGUAGAUCUAUAAAAAAAAGAAUCCAUAGUUUGAAAAGAUAAUUUAGAAAACAGGCUGCAAGUUAUAUGGGUUUACUACCUUAAUCACUCAACGGCACUUACAUCAUUCAGUAGCAUUCACCCAUGAACUAAGGUUCUCUUCUCUCUCUAGGGUCUUUGUAAUUUAUGUCACUAUUCCUACCCAGAUCCCAAUAGACUCUGAUACCAAUAGAUAAGUUGAAAGUACGAACAAGAAAUAAUACAAAACGCAACACAGUACGUGGCGUUGUUAUACUUGAGAAUGAUCUUUAGAUCGGGUCAUAGGUUUCCAGCCUAUAUACCGAGUUUGUAAAGAAAGAAGAAAAGAAAACAGAUAACUUUUUGAUGCGAAUGAACAAGGCAAAACCAACAAUUAUAUAUAUAUAUAUAUAUAUAUAUAUAUAUAUAUAUAUAUAUAUAUAUAAUUUUUAAAAAGUUAUUUUUGAUAUCAAUAUAUCAAAACGAUAAAAAAAAAUAUAAAAAUAAUUUUAAAUAAAACAAAUUUAAAUUUUUAAGAAACACAAUUUUUAAAACGUUCCCAAAUGGUUAGAUAGAUCCCAGCCAUGACUUUCCAAACACUAUUUUUACUUUUUUAUUUUUAUUUUUCUGUCUGAAAGACGACACAAUUGAUGAGGUUAUAAAUCCUUCAAAGACAAAUGAGCUUUAUUAUAGAAAGUAUAUAUAUAGGAAAUAUUAUAGGUAUAUUAUAUAGGAAAUAUUAUAAUCAUAUUCUUGUGUUGUAAUCUCCACCAUUACUAUUGUAUAUUACCCUACACAUAUAUAUAGAAAAAAUUAGCUAAUCAAUAGAAAUCAAAGGACUGUUUUUACAGAUACUCAAGUUUUUAUCAUAAAUCUGGAAUUCUUUAAACUAAAAAGAAGAAAUCAAAGUACUUGAAAAUAUUGAUUAACCACGAUCUCAAACACUAAAUAACUUAUUAUUUACAUAUCCUGGAUUUUAGAACAUCAUCAAAUAUAUAUAAUUUAACAGCACAAUAUUAAAGUGAAAGAAAAGAAUAAUAUUGGAGAACCCUAAUGAUAGUCAUCUAGAGAAAGAGAAAUAUAUAAAUGAAGGCCAUUCCUUAUCUCGUUGUUUGGAGCUUUUGGAAUUGAAUUCAAUUUCUAGGGUUAAAUCAAUUUUUGUGUUUAGAGUUUCUUUUUAUGGUAUUGAUAAUAAAAAAAUAAGCAAAAAUAAAUUAAAUAAGAGAACCUCUGAUUUUCUGCAGUAAUUUCAAAUAAAAAAUAUCAUUUCAAAAAUACCUUUAAAAUUUCUCUAUAAAACUUAACACAUGGUUUACUAAAACCCCAGCAACAAGCCAUAAAGUUUCUCAUUCUAUAAAGUCACAAUAAAAAAGAAAAGAAAAAUAAAUUUUUAAAACUUGACAAAUUAUAUUGAUUAAUAGUUUUUUAUUCACCAUGCACUCAUAAUAAAUCAAUUAGUGCUUUUCAUUUUCGUUUAGUGAUGAGGAUGGGGUGCUAGAUGCUAAGAACUGACUGAACCGAUGGAGAGGUUUUAGCAUACCUCCUAAGAUAGGAUUAGAUGGUCCACUAAACUAAACUGACUUGUAGAGUCUCUAUAAGAAGAUUUCUAAUUGUGGUUACACCUAAUAAACCAUAGGAUUAAAUGGUCCCUUCAAUUAAAAAGUCCACUAAAAUUACAGUUAUGCUAUGUUAAUUACCCAAAGGGUACAACCCCUAGCUGUGAUUAUUAUUCCAUUAGAUAGGCCUCCUCAAUUACCGAAAUACACAGGGGAUCAACUCGUCUUUAUACACUAAAAACACAACUAUAAAAGCAAAUCUUCACGUCCAUUCCUUGUUCAGAAGCUAAUUAGUGAGAGCAAGUGUGAUUAUCGGGAAGAGUUCGAAAGGAUGGCAUCACCAUCUCGGCGUCAUCUUGUGCAUGCCAUGGUUUUCGGCUUACUAGCAAUUAACGUGGCGGCCAAUAUUUAUGAUAAUGAGGAACCUCCUAGGCCACCUCAUGAUCACGAAGACCCACCAUUACCAUAUAAUCAUAAAAACUCUCUAUUUCUGCCAUCAGGACUUCUUCAUCGAGGAACACCGCCGCCGCCGCCUCGAUCACCACCACCUCCAAAUAAGAAGAAAACGCCCCCACCACCUCCAAAAAAGAAGAAAACACAGUCACCUCCACCACCAGCAAAGUCUCCACCCCCGCCACCACCAGCAAAGUCUCCACCAUUGCCAUCAGCUUCACCUCCGACCUCAUCUUCAGCUCCCAUUUUACCUCCAUUGCCUUCUAAAAUUUCUCCAGUUACACCCCCUUCAAAAGUUCCACCAUCCCCAUCCCCGGCUUCCAAUUUAUCUCCAUCUCCUCCUUAUACUUCACCAGCAUCCCCUCCGAGAAUUCCCCCCAUUCCAUCUCCAUCCUUCACCAGCAUCCCCUCCAAGAAUUUCACCCAUUCCAUCACCAUCACCAUUUCCAUCUCCUAAUUUAUCUCAAUCACAUCCUCAUACUCCUCCAACAUCCCCUCCAAAAGUUUCACCAAUUCCAAUACUAUCCUCAUCCCCGCAUCCCAAUUUAUCUCCAUCCCCUUCUUAUACUUCACCAAAAAUCUCACCAAUUUCACCACUAUCCGCACCCUCAACUCCUAAUUUAUCUCCAUCACAUCCUCAUACUUCCCCGAUACCCACUUCAAAAGUUUCACCAUUUCCAUCACUAUCCCCAUCUUCGCAUCCCACUUUAUCACCAUCACCUUCUUAUACUUCUCCAAAAUUCUCACCAAUUUCACCACUAUUCGCAUCCCCAAAUCCCAAUUUAUCUCCAUCACAUCCUUAUACAUCCCCGAUACCCCCUCCAAAAGUUUCACCAUUUCCAUCACUAUCCCCAUCCCUGCAUCUUGUUUUCCUCGCCAGGCGUUGAAAACGUCGGCCAGUAUCAAGCUACACGCUGAUGUACCCCGANNNNNNNNNNNNNNNNNNNNNNNNNNNNNNNNNNNNNNNNNNNNNNNNNNNNNNNNNNNNNNNNNNNNNNNNNNNNNNNNNNNNNNNNNNNNNNNNNNNNUUAUCUCCAUCACAUCCUUAUACUCCUCCGACAUACCCUCCAAAAAUUUCACCAUUUCCAUCACCUCGUUAUACUUCUCCUCCACCACCUCCACCUAUCCUCAAAUCUCCACCUCCUCCGAGAUUUACACUUCCUCCCUUCUUUCCCUUUAAAUCCCCGCCACCUCCAUCUCCUUCGCCCCCUCCACAUAUCCUCAAUUCUCCACCUCCUCCGAGGUUUACACUUCCUCCCUUCUUCCCCAUUAAAUCCCCGCCACCUCCAUCUCCUUCUCCCCCUCCACCAAUCCUCAAAUCUCCACCUCCUCCGAGGUUUACAUUUCCUCCCUUCUUCCCCUUUAAAUCCCUGCCACCUCCAUCUCCUUCUCCCCCUCCACAUAUCCUUAAAUCUCCACUUCCUCCAUGGUUCUUUUUGCCUCCCUUUUUCUUUAAAUCCCCGCCUCCUCUAUCUCCAUCACCUCCGUCAUCCAAUAAUUAACCUCCACCUCGUUCAAAAAUAUCUUACUAAAUUGGUCAGUUCUUUUAACUUUCUUUUUAAUAGAUUGUUUAUUUCGAUAACAUUGUUCUUUUUUUAAUUUUAUUUUGUUACUAAUAUUAAUCUCUAAUUUUAUUUUUUUCAGAUUAUAUAUGGUUAAUGAUGGCAGUGGGUUUCUUCGAAGAGGCUACAUAUUAGAUAAUGCAUGUAUUGAAAAUGUAAUCAAUUGAAGGAAAGUGGACUGUAUCAAUCAUGCCAAAAUAAUAUCAUAGAACUUUAGUUAUUGUAAUAAUAAAUGGAUAAUGUGGAGGAAAAUAUUAUGUUUGUUAAAAAGCAUUAUAAUACUAAAUGAAUGUCUUUUAUUACGAUAACUACUUUUUUUUACAAUUCUUGUCGUUAAACUUUUUACUCGUCUAAUUUCUUUGGAGAAAAACAGUAAAAGAUAAUUUAGAUAUCAGGACAAUGUUUACCUAUAUAAAUUGAAGACUUUCCCCACGUGAAAAGCUCGAUUAUUUAGACUUCCAGGUCUACAAACUUGAUUAUAAUUAUUUUGAUAUAUAAUUAAUGGUGUGUAUAACAUCUGGUCCCUGAUUAUUAUAAUUUUAAUAUAUUUUAACUGUGGGCAUAGACUAUCCUUGAGAAGAACGAGGAUUUUUUUUUUAAUUUUAUCAUUCAGUAUUGGAUUGAUUGAUGAUAAAUUAAUUUUGGCAUUUUCUAUGAUAUAAUAAAAUAAAAAAAAUAAUUUGACCCGGUGGAGUUCUUAACCUAAAUCAUAGGGUUAAUAGACUGACUAAAUAUCAAUUAAAAAGUUAGGUAGAGAUUUUUCAAUAGUUUAAAUUAUUAUACUGAGUUUAAUAACAAAUGUUGGAAAGUUUUUAACGAUCCAAAUAUGUUUUUUUUAUGUUUAAACCCAUAGCGAAAGUGGAAGUAGGUUAAACUAGUUAGAACUAAUUAAACUAUCUGAAAAGAGGAUUCAUCAGACACAUUUUAGGUUACAAACUUUGAAUUGAUACUAAAUUAUAAUGCAAGAGAGUUGAAUUCUCUUUUUAAUACAAUUCUUUCCAAAAAAAAAAUCCAUUAAGUUUUUAUAAUAUGGCUUAUUGUAAGAAAAGAAAUCGUUCAAACAAAUUGUAUAUGAAUAGAAGCAUCACAACAAGAAGAAGAAACAACGAGAAGAAAAGCUUUGAUUGUGAUAAGUCAAUAAUUUUUGUUUAUAUUUUUAUUGCUUGAAAAAACCCAAGACGAUGUGGCUCUAGCAAUAUGCAAGACCUAAUACACUUGGGUUCGGCAAUUAGCUGAGCCCAAAGUAAUGUGGGUCUGACAAUAUGUCAGGCCCAACAUACUUGGGCUCACGAAUCAGCUAAACUCAAGGCAACAUGAGCCCGAUGAAAUGCCAAAUCCAAGACACUUAGGUUCAAAAUUUAGUUGAGUUUAAGGCAAUAUGAGCCUGAUGAAAUGUCAAACCCAAGAAGCUUAGGUUCAACAAUCAGCUGAAGAACCUAAGGCAACAUAGGCUUGGCGAAAUGCAAAACUCAAGAAACUUGGGUUCAGCAAUCAGCUCAACCCAAGAUAACAUGGGUCUGGCAGUUUGCAAGACUCAACACACUUGGGUUCAACAAUCAGCUAAACCCAAGACAACGUGGACCUGACAAAAUACCAGACCUAAUACGCUUGAGUUUAGUUAUUAGUCGAACACAAGGUAACUUUAAUAUGGCAAUAUGUCGGAUCCAAUGAUUAAUUAAACCAGAGGUGCAUGCUACAAAUUAGAUAAACUGUCACACCCUUUUUUUUUAUCUAAGUUUGGCUACAUCUCAUGUCUUAAGUGUACAGGGAUAAGGAGUCCUACUUUUAGAAUGGUUACAUGAUUUAUUCAUAUCAAAGGUAAUGAUCUCUCUAUAUUUAUAGAUGUACAAAAGGUUACUUAGGGAGUCCACCACCCGUACCUUCCCAUUAAUAAUGUGUAAGGGAUAUUUGUUUCUCAUUAAUGGUGUGUAAGGGAUAUUUGUCUCUCAUUAAUGCCACGGAAAGCAAAUAACUUUUUAGUCUUGCUCUUCUCUAAAGACAACUAGGUUUAAGGUUUAUAAAUAUCCCUUGAACUAUUCAGGUAACAGGUUCAAAACUUUUUCGACUCAAUAGCUUGCAUAUACUUCGGAGCAUUAAUCAUUCUAAAAAACAAGAACAAACACUUUUUUUCUUGGAACUUAGGGCUCUUUUGAGUUAUUUAUUGCUUUUCCCAUAAAGUUAUUGACUUUGUUUUUACAGGUACUUAGGUUUUUACCAUUAUUUUGGUACUUUUUUAGCUAAGGAGAAGAUAAUUGUGUUCUUAAACACCUUGACCCACCACUAUUCAAAUACUGAAUAACUUCUUGCUUGAAUAUUCUAAAUUUUAGGAUAUCACCAUAUUAGAUCAAUUAAUCAAGGUGCUCGAAUAUAAUCAAGCUAACUCUUUAAUUAUUUUAAUAUCAGAGUUAAAAUAUGAAUCACUAAAUUUUCAAAUCAAUAUAUUGAAUUUAUACACGAUUUGAUAGCUAUUUAAAUAGAACCAUAAGUAGAAAGUUAUAAUUAAUAAGGUUUUGCUUAACCAUUUUGAUAGCUAUAUAAAUAAAACCAAAAGUAGAAAAUUACAACAAAAGGUUAGCAACCCCAAUCAUGUCCAGACAAGCAAUUUCUAAAGCAAAAGGAAUCAAAAUAAUGAAUCCUAAUAUAAUAGGAUAAACAAUGAUUUGCUAACCAAAAGGAGUUAGGUGUGAUUAAUUAAAAUUAGAUAGCGAUUAUGUAUUCGAUAAAUUAUUUUAGAAAACAAAGUUGAAGUCCUAAUUACUAGAGUUUAUUUGUUUAUGUAAUAAAAAAAGACUACAAUUCCAUUUUAUAUUUGAAAAAUAUAAAUGAAUAAAAAGAAAAUUAGUAUGUAGUUUACAAGUUAAACAAAUAAUUUUGGCUUUGGCAGCAAAUCCUUAUAUAACUAAAAAAUAAAAAUGGAAAAAAUACCAAAUAUAGAAUACAAGAGUCAAAACCUACUGCAAAUAUUACAACAAAAAACUAACUCGAUACUAGAGCGGCAGGACAAAACACGACUUCAACCGCAUAGUAACAUCAGAUCCAAAUUGAAUUGUCAUUGCUACUAAAUUUUUAAAUAUUGGAUUUGAUACGAAGGCAAUGUUUUAUUUGUGGUUCAAGUUAGAUUGUAUUCGUAUAAUUAAAUACAUGAUCCCAUAAUAUUAGUAGCAUGACAAUGUUAAAUCAUUUUGCUCUACCUUAUUAAUUUAUGUAUAUUCCCAUAAUACUUUCUUCAUAAUAAUAAGUUUUGAAUUUGUGAUUAAGUUGAUUUAUUUACCUUGUAAUUGAGCUUGAAUUAGCAUUUUCAUGGACUAAAUUCUUCCAAAUUUAAGUAGCUUUUUUUAAAUAAAAAAAACACUUAAUGCAUGAAAGCAGAUGAAUGCUACCCCCUCCUCCGUACUACUGUCACAGAUCAAACACUAGCGAGGAGGGAUUGUGCUUACUUGCGCCAAUAUCAGUGGUAAAUUCAACAAAAAUCUUUAAUAUCACAAUAUUGAGUGAUAGAUUAAUGUUAAACUUUUAUUAAAAAAAUUAUAUAAUGAUGUCAUACAAUAUAUAUUUCAUCAAAAAUCCGCUAUAUAUUAUUGGGGAAAACAAAACCGAGCCAAUAUGAUGUUUCGAAAAUCUUUAAUAAUGAGCAUCACAGAGUUAGAAAAUAGUAUGAUGACAAAAAAAGGAAAAAAAAAUACAUGUGCCAAAACAAAACCAUAUCAUCAGGACACGUUCCAGUACUGCCCUUUUUUUUUCAUUUUCAAGAAUUGGGCAUCACCGAUAGUGGACACGAAACCUAAAGAAAUGGAAGAAAAAAAAAAUUCCCGAGUUAAUUGAUAAAAUCAAUGAAUGGACAACACAACCAUUUUGAAAUGAAGAAAGAAAAAAGGUUCGCCUUUCUUGGCUUCUCAUAAGAAGAAAAAGCAUAGGCCGGUAAACUGGUCAUAUUCUGGAUUUACAUUUCAGAUAUCACUAGUUCGAGUGUUAUAAUUAUUAGAAUCACUGGAGGCUUACCUGGUUAUUAACUUCAGGGCCUCGAGGGAUUAGUCAAAGUAUACGUAAUCUGGCCCGGACACCCAUAAUUACCAAAAAAAACAACGUUCAAGCAACCCCCAACUCCCCAAUAUCUCUGUCAGGGUCUUUAUCUAUCUCCAGACAGAUAGAUUUUACUUGAGUCUCCAAAGUUUACGGAGAUUACUGGAGAUUCCAUAAAGUAUCAAACUUGAAUGACAGUUUUCUUUGCGAAUUAAAGGUAAGAGACAUCUUUCCAAUACAUUAGGAAGUUCUUUAUUUGUGGGGGCGUCAUCUGUUAAGUAAUGAACCUUCCUGUUCACUGUUUAUGGUUUCAUAGAAUUAUAUCAGUUCAUGAGGCAUGGAGUUUUUGUUAAAGAACAGUCUAUCAAGUUCUGUUUGUGUUACUUUGUUUUCUUGCUUUGUGCUUAUUUGUUUGGUAGCUUGGAAAUGAUGGGAAAGAAAACAAAUUAAAGUAAAUUUGAUUUCUUUGAGUUGAUUAAUUUGAGAUGAGAAUUAAAAAAUAUGCCUAGAAGUAGUACUAUUUAUGAUGAUUUCGUAAACAUUUGGGAGAUAUGACAGUAUAGAAGCAUGAUAUUCUCGUCUGAAUUCUCUAUCUCUGUUUUCCUUGUUCUUACGGAGUUCUCUCUUCAACUACGAUUUACCUAAUCACUGCAGGUCAACCUUUCUGGGGUAUGGAAAUUCUUACUUCCAGCACCGUACCAUGCCGUCUUGUUGUAAAUCUGAGGUCGAUAUUAGAUGAAAAUGUAUCGAAUUCUUGCCUGUUAAAGCUCCCUGUUAGUAGUGAGCGCAAAAUGCUGGUUGCUAGGACUGAUCACAGUAGCGGGUCUUUGAGAUUUUCUAGUUUUGAUAUUGAAGAAAGCUAGAGAAUUACAAUCUCUGAUCAUAUUUUGUAUUGAUGGAAUUGUACAAGUAUAUUUGGAAUAGAAUCAGAACCUAAUACAACAAUUAAUGAUAUGAUUCUAUCCUUGAUUCUAGAAAGGAUAUAUAGUAAUUACAAGAUCAUCUAAACUAGGUAUAAAUAAACUAUCUUAGGUAAUGACAUAACUGCAGAAAUCUUCAAUAUCUACACCAUUAAUCUACAAUAUCUUCAAUAUCUACAAUAUCUUCAAGACUCCUCCUCAUGAUAGAUUAAUUGAUCCAAACUUGCUUAACAACCGAUAAAACUAAUCACAAGGUAGAAUUUUGGUAAACACAUCAUCUAGUUGAUCAUAAGUGCGCACAUACUUAGUUUGAAUAAGUUUAGCUUGAACUUGCUGAUGAAUAUAAUGACAAUCCACUUCAAGGUGUUUCGUUCGUUCAUGAAACACCAGAUUAGCCGCAAUAUGCAUGACAACUUGAUUAUCACAAAACAAUGUCACUGGUGUAUGAUUGUGAAAACCGAGAUCUGCAAGUGAAUUCUUGAGCCAGAUCAAUUCACAUGAAGCAGAUAUCAUUGCGCGAUAUUCAGCUUCAACACUUGAGCGAGCGACCACAUGUUUUUUUCUUUUCCAGGACACUAAAUUACCUCCAACAAACAUGAAAAUAUUCAGUGGCAGAUCAUCUAUCUAGUGCAUUGCCUGCCCUAUCUGAGUUUGUGUAGCUCAUAUGUUUGUGUGCCCAUUGCGUUUCAUUACGUAAAUUAAUUUGCCAACAAUCCUUUGAUAAGUGGUGAAUGACGUGAAAUGUUUGCUUAAGGAGUCCAAUUUGAUCUUAUUGUCCAGGGUAGUAAUGGUUGGCUUAGCAUGUAGCGUUUCAGCUUCUUGUAACAAAUCUAGGAUAUACUUCUGUUGAUUAAGAAACCUUUGCUAGAAGUUGCCAUUUCAAUCCCUAAGAAGUCCUUUAGUUUACCAAGAUCUUUAAUUGAGAAUUGCUUCUACAGAUCUUUCUUCAAUUUUGCUAUAGAAUCUCUAUUAUUCCUAGUGAUCAUUAAAUAAUCUACAUAGACAAGUUCAACAAGUUUUUCAUCUGAAUUUUGCCAGACAAAUAGGAAAGAAUCAACAUUGCCCUUGUAAAACCAAAAGCUUUCAGAGCAAUGCUUAACUUUGCAUGCCAUGCUUGUGGACUCUGUUUCAAUCUAUAAAUGGAUUUAUGAAGUUUUGCAAACCAAAUUAGGAUGGUUACUCUAUGGAUGUCCAGGAGGUAGUUUCAAGAACUCUUUUUCUUUAAGUUCUCCAUGUAAGAAUGCGUUUCUUACAUCCAUUUGAUACAAUUAUCGGCCAUGAUUAAUUGAAACAGAUAAUAAGACUAUGACAAUAGUCAUUUUUUCCAUAGGAGCAAAUGUUAUUCAACUUCAAAUUUCUGAGAGAAACCUUGAGCUACAAACCAAGCUUUAUGUAGUUCAAUUGUUCCAUUUGAGUUGAACUUAGUCUUGAAAAUCCAGCGAUAACCUACUACUUGUUUACCUAUGGGAAGAGGCAUGAUGCUUCAUGUAUGAUUGUUGUCAAGUGCAGGCAGUUCGUCCUUUAUAGCUUGCUGCUAUACAACUUAAGAUUGAGCUUCUUGAAAUGUCUUUGGCUCAUGAAAAUUUAUUAUGGAAAUGAGGAAUGCUUUGUGAUCUUGAGACAGUUGGUAAUAUGACAGAGAUUUAGAGACUGGACGCUUGAUAUUAUAAGUUACAUACUCUUGUAGUCUAGAAGGGGGUUGAUGUUUUCUGUACGAUAUUCUUUUUGAAGUUGGUUGAUCAUUUGGAAUACUAAGAACUUCUUGCACACUUGAUUCACUUGAUCAAAGUUGAAAUCUAUUCAUGUAGCUUCAUCAGAAAAGUUUACAUCAGAUAUUAGACUGGCACACUAAAUAUCACUCGCAGAACUUGAUUUUGAUGUAGGGCUGUCAGAACUGGAAUUAGUUCUAGCACUAGUGGACUGUCGUUGCAGAGAGCAUGGACUCUGAUCGAUGGAACUUGAACUAGGCAACAUAAAUAAUUCAAAAAGAUCCUCCCCCUGACUUGUUGUGGAGAAAUAAGGGAUGUCUUAAAUGAAUAUAACACCUCUUAAUAUAUAUAUAUAUAUAUAUAUAUAUCUUCUUUAGUAAGGGAUUAUAACACUAGUAAAUGAUCGAUGGAACUUGACUAUGCAGCAGCAAUAAUUCAAAAUGAUCCUCCCCCGACUUGUUGCGGAGAAAUAAGGGAUGUCUUCAAUGAAUCUAACACCUCUUGAUAUGUACAUCGUUUUUAUUGAGGGAUCAUAACACUUGUACCCCUUUUGUGUUUGAAAAUGCAUUUAAUUGCUCUUGAAUCAAGCUUAUCAUGUUGUGAUGGUGGCAAGUGUACAAAACAGGAGCAUCCAAACACUUUGAGAUGUGACAAAUAUGGACUUUUAGCCUGCAAAACUUGAAGAGGAGAUUUAAAACCUAGCACACGGCUGGGUAACCGAUUUAUAAGAUAUGCAGCCUUGAGAACACCAUAUGACCAAAAUUGUUUUGGAAAUUCAUUUGAAACAUUAUGGUACAUUGUUUUUUCAAGCAGAUCGUGAUUUUUUCAUUCAGAAACCCUAUUUUGUUAGAGUGUACCAGCACAACUAGUUUGAUGCAAUAUGCCAUUAGAACGUAAAUAAUAUUACAUAUCUUUGGACAUGUAUUUGGUGUCAUUAUCUAAUCGGAUGAUUUGAAGAUGAACUGAGAACUGAUUUGUAAUCAACAUAUGAAAAUCCUUAAGAUAUUCAAAUACUUCACUCUUAACUUUCAGCAAUACACCCAUGUGACUCUAGAGAAAUCAUCAAUAAAAGUUACAGAGUAUUAGAUAGUGAAGUAUAGAAUGGUCUCCAUACAUAUGAGUGUACAAGUCCAAAUGCAUGAGUAUCAUGUGAUAUGAAUGGAUUAAAAGGAAGUUUAGAUGAUUUAGGAAAAUACAAAUCUCAUAUUUAAAAGGUUCCUAUUUAUUUUGCUAAAAACAAAAUCUGAUGGAUGUGCUAGAGGACAAUGCCAUAAGAAUGGCUCAUAGGAUGAUUUGAAACUAGCCUGAAAUCCUCGAGAAACUUGAGAAUCAUUAGAGAAAUAAUAAAGACUAUGCAAAAAAAAAAACCCUUCACCAAUCAUCUUCUUGGUUAAUGGAUCCUAAAAUAUAACCUUAUGAUGAGUAAAAAUUACAUCACAAUUGAAUGUAUAAGUUAACGUACUAUCUAAAAGCAAUUAGAAAGGAAAAGAGGGAACAUAUAACAUCAGACAUGAUUUUAUCAAUGAUUAACUUGAUUUUUCCCUUAUCCUUUACAUGAGAACCCUUUCCGUAAGCUACCGAAACAAAGGUAAGAGAAGCAAAUUGUUCAAGAUAAAAAAUAUUACUCAAUUUUUUAGACAUAUGAUCUGUGGCACCAGAAUCGACAAUCCAAAGAUCAUGCAAAUUAUCAAGUUCUAAUGCAGUGGUAAAGGCAAUCAGAAUACCUUGGCUGGUUUUCAGGUCUGCUUCAGCUAGGAAUCUGGUGAGGUGGCUGAGGAGUGUUGUUGGUUGAAUCUACUCUUGUCUAGUAGCUCUGUUUUUCGCCUUCUUAUGACCGUGCUUGUCUUGCAAGUAAUUAGCAAAGUCUUGGAUCAAGGCAACAAGAUUUGUAGUGAAGUUUUGAGUGGUAUGAGUUGCUAGAUUUGACUUAUAAUUAGAUGAUUGUCUCUUAUAUCCUCUGUUGUUACUCAAUUUUGGACCCCACGUGCUGGAGAUGGUGUAUACCCGUUUUGAACCGAGUGUAGGAGUGUAGCUCAUGUUUGCUAGAAAAUUGACAAAAGCAGAGAAAUAAAUUUUUUUUUUCGAAACCUUGUUUAAGCUGUUUUCUUCUCUUUUUUAUCCUUCCCCUUUGCUACCAAAAUCGUCAGGUUUUCUUAGGUCGAUCAGGAGUCUUUAUAAUGCUAAAUUCGUUCCUUCUUUAUCUGGUCUUUAAGGUUGGAUAAAUCCCUCAGAAUUUGCAAAAAAAAUGGUUCUGCUGCUGUCGCAAUUUUUUUUCCAACUUAGGCUCUGAUUCUGACUUGGUUUCGUACGAUAUCUGACCAUCCUAGCUAUAUUCUGUCACUCAUGACAUGUUGAAAAAUUGACCUACACCUUUAUUAGGUCCUAGGGAUCAUUGUUCUUAGGACAGAUUCUCAGUCAGAUUUGGAUGCUCAGAAUUGUUAGAUCAAGAACCUUUUUGACCAACUAGAUUACUGCCAGAUUCUGUUCUCUAAAACAAUUUUAUCUCACUUCAACUCCUUCAUCAAAGUUGUAGUCCUGGACGUGUAGAUAAAUUUGGGCUUUUGAAUCGCUUGAUUUCGAUAUCAGAAGCUCAAGAUAUUCCAGUUUGAAUAUCUAAUGUGAAGGUAGAGAAUUCUACCGCGAGAAGGAUCCUGACCCGAGUUUUGCACUAAAAACUCUAUUUCCAUCACAAAUUUUGUUGAUUUGUUCUUAGUUCAUACUUUCAGUCAUAUCAGGAUGCUCGGCAUUGUCAGUUUCUGAAUUAGACUAGGAGACCCUUUUUGACCAACCAGAUUACUGCUAGAUUCUGUUCUCUAAAAUGAUUUUAUCUCACUUUGACUCCUUCAUCAAAGUUGUAGUCCUGGACGCAUAGAUAAAUUUGGGCUUUUGAAUCACUUGAUUUUGGUAUCAGAAGCUCAAGAUAUUCAUGUGUUUAAUAUCUAGUGUGGAAGCAGAGAUUCCUACCGCGAGAAGGAUUUUUUUUUUGCUCGGGUUUGCAGGGACACAAUUGCGAAAUGCUUAAAGAUUAAAGACCAAUUGCAGGCCAAUUUGAAUCCUUUUUGGACCAAGGACCAAAUGGAAAAGGUGCUAAAAUAAGGAGGAUGAUUGAAGAUAAAAAAUAGAAAGGAUUUUUGCCGAAGGAAGACAUUGAAGAAAACACGUUUUUACCUGCACAACUAGCCGUUUUCUUUCUUUCCUUUUUAUAUGAAAUUUCUUGUUUGGUUUCCAUGUUUCUCUCGCUUGAAUGGAGAGCUGCAGACCACGUUUUUAUUGCCUCAUUUCAAAGGGAGCAUCUGGCCUUAUGGAAGGAAAGAAAGGAGCCACACCAUCCUCUAAAAAACUGGAAAGAAAUCAGACAUGAGCACAAAAUCAAAAUCAGAAUAUGGCAGUUUCCUUUUUGCGUUUUUUUACUGCAAAUCAGUAGGGAUUUGCAUCCUAGAAUUAAUGCAUUAAAUCUUUCCUAAAUAGAGAUAUGUUAGACUAUAUAUAAGCCCCUCUGAUGACCUAGGAAAGGAAAAAAAAACGGAAAAAAAGAAGGGAAGCCAGGCAGAAAAAGAAAGGAGAGAACAGAGAAAAACAGAAAAAGAAAGACAAAAAACGCAGAGAGGUAGGCAGUUAGGAGAGAAAAAAACGCAGAGAACAGAGGGAGUUUCUUCCUUCAUCCUUGCUUUGCUGUGAGAUCAGGAAGGCAGGCAGUAGAAGAGAAAGAAGAGAAAAGAAAAGACGAAAAAAAGAGAGGAGAAACAAGGAAGAAGCAGGGACUGACUUUCGGUCUGCAGAAAGAGGAGAAGAAGGUGCAGAAAACCAAAAGAAAGAGAGGAGACCGAAACAGAGAAAGGAGAAAGGAGAAAGGAGUCUCUCUUUGGAUACCAGAGGCGAGAAAGCAGAAGCUCUGUCCAUCAGCUCGCAAGUCAUCUUUGGCAUUCAGAACAAGCGGGGAUUUGCAGACAGUGGAGGACUGAAAGAGCCGGGGUCGCCAGCGGACCAGGUAAGCCGUGUGUCUCUAUUCUCCCAGUUUUUUGCAUUUUGCAUGUUAAGACACUGUGCAUUCUUAGUUUGCAUUUGUUACUGUUCAAGUGAAAUUUAAUUCACUUGAACAGUAACCAGGGAAGGCAAAUUCACUUGAACGUGUAUUAUUUUUUUUUAUUCCCAGCUUUUGCAUGCAUUCUUUGUUGCAUUUGUUACUGUUCAAGUGAAAUUUAAUUCACUUGAACAGUAACCGGGCAAGGCAUGUGUAUUUAUUUUUUUGUGUUUUUUUUGUAUUGUAAAAAUAGAAAUCUCGUUUUUAGAAUACCCGGUUUUCGACGCAAUGCGACAACUAUACAUAUAUAUAAAAAAAAUGUUUUCUUGUGUGUUGCAUACAGCCAAUACCCUAACAUGUUUUGAACGCUCUUUUUUAUACAAAAAAUAUUGGAAGUUUAGAAAAUGUGUUUUCGCAUGAAUUUCUUAAAUAUAACAAAAAUUAUUUUCUUGCAUUUCUGAAUUUUACAACAUGUUUGUAAAACUCCAAAGGGUAUUGGCCAAUAUUCCAAAAAAUAAAAAAUCUUAUUUUGAGGGGAAUUCAUCUAUUAUUCACCGUUAAUGUUUGGAUAAAGAAAUCCCAAAGGGAUGAAUAUCCAAAAUAUUUAAUGGGAAUAACUUGUUAUUAUUCACUGUUAAUAUUUGGAUAAAGAAACCCUAAGUAGUAAAUAUCCAAAAUAAUUUUCUAGGGAUAAUAAGUCAUCACACAUCAUUGAAAGAAGCCUUGAUUAUAAUCGAGGACAUUUCAAUUUUUUUUUGCUCCACGGUUUACGAGCAAUGAGAGUAUAAAACACUAAGGCAAAAAUAGGCUUUUAAAGCGCCCUAGAUUUCUAAAUUUUUAUCCCUCCUUGCGAUUUAUGAGUCGCAAACUCUUGAAAUAUUAAGGGAAAAAUGAGCUUUAAAGCACAUGGAAUCUCCUUGGAUUUCUAUCUUAAUAAAUUUAGUUUGAAUCAAACCUAGGAAAACUGAUGGGAUUAGAAAACACCAACGCCAUAGCAAUUAUAAAGCAAACCAAACACCAAGCAGCUUACCUUAGGUAGAGCGUACUAGGGGUGCUAAUACCUUCCCUUUACGCAACCAGUCUCUUGCCUUAGAAUCUCUGAAAAACCAGUUAGGGUUCCUAGUGACCAAAAUACUAGGUGACGACUCCAAAUAACCAACUCCUUUAUUCACAAAAAAACAAAAAAAAACCCCAAAAUCAAUCGAGGGUUGCCGCGCUCCGCCGCGAGGGUGCGACAGGAUGGCAACUCCACUGGGGACCCUUGGACUAAGCUUGGUAAUCAUUUUUUUAUUAUGCUAUGUGUUGUUGUUUUUUGUACUAUGAAUGACACUUUGUUUAAAAGCUUUGGCAUGCAUCUUUAUAUUCUGUCAUACAUGGUGUAGUCAUUCAUCACUUUAUUAUUAUUUUCUUUUUUGAGAGCACAUACAUUAAAUUUUAAGUUAAGUGGGGGACUAGCAGCGAGUCAAGGUUUAAGUUUGUGUAAACCCCAACUCUUAGUUGAGUGUUUAGACUGAUAGUGAUUGGUACACGUGCCAUCCCACUAUCUGUUGAACCCCCAUAUUGCCUUUACAAGGGUGAUCACUAGGACAGCAAGAGACCCUUUUUAGAGACCAAGUAGUAAACCUACCCUAUGUCUUAUAUAAAGGAACUAGACCUAUCCUUAAGAUGUAUGCUCCAUAAUAUCGUUUUGCAUCCAAACAAGCCUAAGCUCAAAGCAUCUUGAAUCUCAAGACCUUCAUUCAAAAGCUAGCCAAGGGAGAGAUGUUCCAGAGUUGGGAGACCCAAGAAGCUCCAUUGGUGUUCAAAAUUUAAUCAACAAUUCUUGUUUGAUCAUGAUAUUGUGUUGUUUGCCUUUUUCACCUUUUUAAAUCGAGGUUCCAAAUGUCAAAUUGGAUUUUAUCCUUGUUUUGUUAGCCAAACUUUUCCUUUUAAUGAGAUCAUGCAUUUUCAAAAGUUCAUCUUUAUGUUUUUACUAUGCAUUUACACAUCACUUUCCGCUUUUAGAAACCCUGAAAGCUGAUCUUCCAUAACAAACACCUGCACUUUACACCGAGAAUAAAUUGUCAAACUUUAAAGAAUACAACAUUAUGGAAUUCACAAAAUUAAUAAAGCAGCAUGAACAAGCUUGGAAACUCGCUAAAGAGGAACUUGAAACCAUAGAUGUGGGCAAUGAAGAAAUCAAGAGAGAGUUGAAGAUAGAGACUUUGAUUACCCCUAAAGAAAGAGAAAAGUUGAUUACUUCGAGAUUAUAUAGAUGUAUUUGCUUGGUCUUAUGAGGAUAUGUUUGGCUUAGAUACGGAUAUCAUAGUAGAUAGGGUACCACUAAUAGAAGGAUGCAAAUCGGUUAAGCAAAGGUUGAGAAGGACCAAUAUGAAUGUCUUGAUCAAGGUAAAGACAUAAAUUGAAAAGCAGUGGAACGUCGAUUCUCUAGAAGAAGUCAAAUAUCCACAUUGGGUGUCCAACAUAAUGGUAGUACCCAAAAAGGAAGAUAAAAUCAGGGUUUGUGUAGACUUUAGGGACUUAAACCGGACUAGCCCUAAAGACAAAUUUCCUCUAUCACACAUAGAUAUGUUAGUUGACAAUGCAGCUCAUAGCCCCAUAUAUUCCUUUAUGGACGGGUUUUCGGGCUACAAUAAGAUAAAAAUGGCGCAAGAGGAUAAGGAGAAGAAACCUUUGUAACACUAUGGGGAACCUUUUGCUACAAGGUCAUGUCAUUUGGGCUGAAGAAUGUCAGGGCCACUUACCAAAGGGCCAUGGUGACUCUAUUUCAUGACAUGGAUGAUAUGACUGCUAAAUCUAAAGAGGAAGUGAGUCAUGUCCAAAUAUUGAAGAAAUUACUUGAAAGACUAAGGAAAUAUAAGCUGAGGCUUAACCCCGCAAAGUGUUCAUUCGGGAUGAAAUCUUGGGAAGUUGUUGGGAUUCGUGGUGAGUGAUAAAAGGGAUAGAAGUGGAUCUUGACAAAGUAAAGGCUAUUCAAUCUAUGCUAACUCCCAAGACUGAGAAGAAUGUAAGAAGGUUCUUAGGAAGAUUGAAUUACAUUGCUUGGUUUAUAUCCCAAUUAACCACGACUUGUGACCCAAUCUUGCAUUUGUUAAAGAACUGUGCUUGGACAAUACAAUGAAACAGGAAGGGGAACCUUUUGCUACAUAAUGAAACACGACUUGUGGCCCUUUCCUCUAAAAUGACCUGUAAUGCAAAUAAAAGCAUUGAAUCGACUGAAAGAAGUGCCCCUUCCUUUACUUUAGUGUCUUUUUUAGGACCUAGAUGGCUGUUGGAUAAGGAAAGGGCCAUUUAUUACCUAAGCAAGAAGUUCACGGAAUGCAAGUCUAGGUAUACUAUGAUUGAGAAGCUGUGUUCCGCACUAGCAUGGCCUGCAAAGAGAUUGUGUCAAUAUAUGUUGUAUCAUACUACAUGGUUGAUUUCAAAAUUAGACCCAUUAAGGUACAUCUGUGGAAAGCCCUAUCUGUCAAGCCAAAUUGCAAUAUGCCAAGUUCUACUAGCUAAGUAUGACAUAGUAUAUAUGACAAGGAAAGCUGUGAAAGGGAGUGUUAUUGUUGAUCACCUAGCUGACCAUGCUAUGGAAGAUUAUGAGCCAUUAAAAUUUGACUUUCCUAAUGAAGAUGUGCCUUCAGUUGAGGAAUGGAAAUUAGAUUGGUGGAUUAUGUACUUUGAUGGUGUUGUAAACGUAUGUGGUAACAGAGCUGGUGCAAUGAUAAUCUCUCCUAAUAAAAAGUAGUAUUCGGUUUUAGUUAAGUUGCAGUUUGGGUGCAAUAACAACAUAGGAGUAUGAAGCUUGCAUUCUCGUUUUAGAGGUGGCAUUGGAGCUGAAUAUUAGAAAGAUAGUUAUGUAUGGAGACUCGAUUUUGAUUAUUUUCCAAGUGAAAGGAAAAUGGCAAACCAAGGACAAGAAGUUGAGACUUUACCAAGAAUACCUAUCUAAAAUUGGCUAGAGAAUUUGAGGAAAUAAAGUUCACCCAUCUAGGAAGGGAAGGAAACCAUUUUGCUAACGCUUUGGUCACGCUAGCUUCUAUGGCUAGAAUAGACUUUGGGCACAAGGUACAGUUGGUAUGCAUUAAUAUCAGAAAUAAUCCAGCUCAUUAUUGCUCAGUUGAAAGAGAAAUAGCUGGAAACCCUUGGUACUAUGAUAUCAAGAAUUUCAUCCAAAACCAGACAUAUCCCAUGGGGGCAUCCAAAAUCAACAAGAGGACUUUGAGGAGGUUGGCAAUGGAUUUCUAUCUUGAUGGGGAAACUUUGAAUAAGAAAUCAUCUGACGGAACUUUGUUGAGAUGUUUGGAUGAUAUGGAGGUAAAAAGUCGUGAAGAAAUUUAUGGAAAGAGAUUUGAUCUGUCGAUAUGGUCCACUAGAAAAGAUUAUAACUAAUAAUGCCCAGAACUUCAAUGGCAAGAUGAUAAUAGAACUCUGCGCUAAAUGGAAAAUCAAGCAUUCCAAUUCCUUACCAUAUAGGUCAAAGAUGAAUGGUGCGGUAGAAGCUGCUAACAAAAAUGUCAAGAAGAUUAUUUAGAAGAUGGUAGUCACCUACAAGGAUUGGCAUAAGAUGUUGCCAUUUGCCCUUCACACGUACCGUACCACAGUCCGAACCUCAAUAAGAGCCACCCCGUAUACUUUGGUAUAUGGAAUGGAGGCGGUGAUGCCUUUAGAAGUGGAAAUCCCCUCAUUGAGAGUAUUGAUAGACUUUGAGCUAGAAGAGGUAGAAUGGGCAAAGGUUAGAUAUGAACAGCUGAAUCUGAUCAGUGAAAAUAGAAUAGCCGCAAUCUUUCAUCAUCAACUCUAUUAAAGAAGGAUGGCCAAAUCAUAUGACAAGAAGGUUCGACCUCGAGGAUUCCGCGAAGGAGAUCUUGUACUGAAGAAAAUAUUGCCUUUUACCAGGAGAAGAUCAGAGUAAAUGGGCGCCAAACAAUGAGGGCCCUUUGGUGGUAAAGAAAGCGUUCUCAGAAGGAGCUUUAUUGUUAUCUAGAAUGGAUGGAGAAGAUCUAGUUAAACCUAUGAAUGUUGACUCUAUAAAGAAAUACUAAGCUUCCCAGUCAAUAAAAGAAAGUUCGGCCAUCAAUUCUCUUUGUAAAGAACCUUUUUAUCAUAAAACGUAUGAUCUCAUAACAUUUGAAAUCUUUUACUUAAAAGAACUGUUUUUUUUAACGCAUGACUAAGGAGAUGACUCCAUCAAUUGGAGAGAACCAAAUCAAAUCUAAACUUGACAUAUUUUUGCACACCACACUGGGGGCAAGAAGUGCACAAAGUGCACAUAGGGAUCCAUAGUGAACCAAAGCCCAAAGGGGUAUCAUCAUAAAAACUUCUAAAAAAGCAUCUUUUAUGAGAAUUGCUAAUUGCAUUGAAAGUUUCAGUUUUCAUGAACAAAACUAAAUCUUUUGAGUUUUUCUUUUAAAAUAUUAAUAAAAGACAAUACUCAAUGGAGCAAGAAAGGGCCUCAUAAGGAACCAAAGAUCUCUUCACCAAGAGGAUAGGAAGUAUCGCGCGUGGAUCACAUUCCAUUUCAAGAGGACGAGUCGGACAAACAAAUGGAAACAGGAGCUCAAUAAGUCUACAAUAGAAAGGGGGACCUAUAUUUCCAAAAUAGGUAACAAAAAAACAUGUAUGCUAUAUUGUCAUAACACUAACCUGGCAGGAGAAGGUGUGACGAAAGCGAAAAUAGUUCCAAGUUUUUGGGAAAACCGCUGAGGUCCAAAAUCUCAGGUCAACGGAACUACAGAAAAGGAUAGGAAUUGUGAACCAGCACUGCUUCAUUUCCUCGAGGUCACCCGAUAUUGAGACCAUUCCUUAGAAAAGCAUGGGGUUUUCUAAGAAUUUUAAGAAGGGCCGGUCACCUGAUAUUGAAACCGUUUCUUAGAAAAGCGUGGAGUUUUCUAAGAAUUUUAAGAUGGGCCGGUCACCUGAUAUUGAGACCGUCUCUUAGAAAAGCGUGGAGUUUUCUAAUAAUUUUAAGAUGGGCAGCCACCCGAUAUUGAGACCGUUUCUUAGAAAAGCAUGGAGUUUUCUAAGAAUUUUAAGAUGGGCAGGUCACCCAAUAUUGAGACCGUUUCUUAGAAAAGCAUCUAGUUUUCUAAGAAUUUUAAGAGGGGCUGGUCACUCGAUAUUGAGACCGUUUCUUAGAAAAGCGUGGAGUUUUCUAAGAAUUUUAAGAUGGGCAGGUCACCCAAUAUUGAGACCAUUUCUUAGAAAAGCGUGGAGUUUUCUAAGAAUUUUAGGAUGGGCCGGUCACCUAAUAUUGAAACCGUUUCUUAGAAAAGCGUGGAGUUUUCUAAGAAUUUUAAGAUGAGCCGGUCACCCGAUAUUGAUACCAUUUCUUAGAAAAGCGUGGAGUUUUCUAAGAAUCUUAAGAUGGGCAGGUUACUCGAUGUUGAGACCGUUUCUUAGAAAAGCGUGGAGUUUUCUAAGAAUUUUAAGAGGGGCCGGUUACCUGAUAUUGAAACCGUUUCUUAGAAAAGCAUGGAAAAGCGUGGAGUUUUCUAAGAAUCUUAAGAUGGGCCGGCACCUGAUAUUGAGACCGUUUCUUAGAAAAGCUUGGAGUUUUCUAAGAAUUUUAAGAGGGGCCAGUCACCCGAUAUUGAGACCGUUUCUUAGAAAAGCAUGGAGUUUUCUAAGAAUUUUAAGAUGGGCAGGUCACCCGAUAUUGAGACCAUUUCUUAGUAAAGCGUAGAGUUUUCUAAGAAUUUUAGGAUGAGCAGGUCCCCUGAUAAUUGGACCAUUUCUAAAAAUAAAAAACGUGGAGUUUUUCUAGAUAGAUAGGUCACCUGAUAGGGAAACCAUUAUUUAGGAAAAGCACUGAGUUUUAGCAUGAUCAGACAAUUUAUCUUUACAACACUUACUACGCGAAGCACUUGACAAGUUUUGCUUCGUAAGCAUUGUAAAGAGGGGGCAUCUGUUGUUACUCAAUUUUGGACCCCGCGUGCUGGAGAUGGUGUAUACCCGUUUUGAACCGAGUGUAGGAGUGUAGCUCAUGUUUGCUAGAAAAUUGACAAAAGUAGAGAGAAAUUUUUUUUUCAAAACCUUGUUUGAGCUGUUUUCUGCUCUUUUUUAAUCCUUCCCCUUUGCUACCAAAAUCGUCAGGUUUUCUUAGGUCGAUCAGGAGUCUUCAUAAUGCUAAAUUCGUUCCUUCUUUAUCUGGUCUUUAAGGUUGGAUAAAUCCCUCAGAAUUUGCAAAAAAAAUGGUUUUGCUGCUGUCGCAAUUUUUUUUCCAACUUAGGCUCUAAUUCUGACUUGGUUUUGUACGAUAUCUGACCAUCCUAGCUAUAUUCUGUCACUCAUGACAUGUUGAAAUAUUGACCUACACCUUUAUUAGGUCCUAGGGAUCAUUGUUCUUAGGGCAGAUUCUCAGUCAGAUUUGGAUGCUCAACAUUAUUAGAUCAAGAACCUUUUUGACCAACUAGAUUACUGACAAAUUCUGUUCUCUAAAAUAAUUUUAUCUCACUUCGACUCCUUCAUCAAAGUUGUAGUCCUGGACGUGUAGAUAAAUUUGGGCUUUUGAACCCUUGGUACUAUAAUAAAUUUAGUUUGAAUCAAACCUAGGAAAACUAAUGAGAUUAGAAAACAUCAACGCCAUAGCAAUUAUAAAGCAAACCAAACACCAAGCAGCUUACCUUAGGUAGGGCGUACUAGGGAUGCUAAUACCUUCCCUUUACGCAACCAGUCCCUUGCCUUAGAAUCUCUGAAAGACUAGUUAGGGUUCUUAGUGACCAAAAUACUAGGUGGCGACUCCAAAGAAUCAACUCCUUUAUUCACAAAAAAACAAAAAAAAAAACCUGAAAUCAAUCGAGGGUUGUCGCGACGCCGUGCUCCCCGUGAGGGUGCGACAUCCUCACUGCUCAGCAAAUCUGGGUUUAAUUUCUGGAUAAAGUUCCAACAUCGGUCUAUCAAGUGUCCAAUGUUAUAACAAUAGCUGCACUUCAGGUCUAAUCGUUUCCUUUUGAAUGUUCUUUCAUUAGUUACUUGUCAUGGUAGAGCAUGAUAAUCAGACAUACCAGAAUUCUCACUACGAGACAUUGCUUUGGCAUGAUAAACACGAGCAUUAGCAGCUCUAGAAUUAGUAUCACAGCUCAUCACCUUCCUGCGAAUCUCUUCAAGCUGGAUCGUUGUACAUACAGAUUUCAAAGAAGGUAGUUCUAAAUUCAUUAAAAUAUGACUCCGCAUGUCUUUAAAAUGAGGACUGAGGCUUGCCAGAAGUUGAAAAAUUCAGUCUUAUUUUGUUCUUUUUUGUAGGACAGUAGCAUCAAUAGUGUGAGGGUGAUACAUCUCUAGUUCAUUCCACAAGCUUUUCAGAAUUCCCAAUAGCUGAACAAAGGGUCCAUCAUUCUAAUGAAGAUUUGCAAUUUCGCGAUGAAUCUGAAAUAUUCGAGCAACAUUGUUUUAGAUAACCAAGCCUCAUAUUCUAGGGCAUCCAUGUCUGGAAAAAGUGUUGAACCAUUGAUGAAUCCUGCUUUGAUCUUCCACCAAGGGUGAUAGUGAAAGCCCUUUAACCAAGGGAAAUAGUUGAAUUCAUUUAGCAAUAUUGAACUCAACCUUUGAGAGGUAUUGGUAUUGUAAACCCCGAGGAUAAACUUUUACAAUAAAAAAAGAGCUUUAAAUUAACCCCAUGAUGAAGAAGGUGAGGUUAAAUGUAUGGAAAAACCAAAUAAAUUCAAAUGUUAAGAAAGGAUUUUAAAAGAUAAAAAGGAGUACCACUCAAAUUGUAAAAAAGAAGAAAAAAUGUGGCCAAAGUAUAAUUAAAAAGGAUGGGACUAUAAAUUCCUCAUUCUCUCAUCCAUGAGGCUGGCAGCAAGGAGACAAAUAUGAGGGAGAGUAAUUUCAAAUUUCUUCCACCAAAAUUUGAGAGAAAACACCAAAAUUGUUAAGUCUAUACAAGCUCUAGAUUACUAGGUAGAGAAAACAACCUUUGGGAAAGGAAUUAAUAAGAAAACAAGUGAAGAAAUUGUGAGGAAAAGAGAGGAAGAGGGUCAGUUACAUACAAGGAAGGAGGAGUAAAAAAUAUUCAACCAAUUUAGAAUUGAAAUCCAAAUUUCCUCCAGUUAAGGAGCCCUAUACCUAAUUGUGAAAACCAAUUUAAAUUCAAUUAGGAAUUGUGCACCAAUCUUGAAAUUGAAAAUUAGGGUUCUUAAAUGAAAUUUGAGGGAUUUGUAGAAAUUGUUGAAAUUGAGUUAAUUGAAAUAUUAUAAGAUACCUUAAACAUGAAAUCAUGUAAAAAUACCAAAGAAAAAUCAAUGGCCAAAGGAACAAGAGUGGCCAACCAUUUGGGGGUUAAAUGGGAGGAAAAUAAAUUUUGAUUCGCUUGAUAAAGUCUUUGUGAUAUGUUGUUAUAAUGUGAACAAUGAUUGAAUAAGAUAAAUAAUUGCAUGAGAAAGAGAAAGGAACCCUCGAUUCCCUUAUGCCAAGUUUCGGCCAAGGCUAAAUUGAGAAGGGGGAGGGGGAGUUUUGAGAUUUUAUAUGUUAAUGAAGAGUGAAUUAGGUGUGGUAUGAAGUUUAUUAAUAGGAGAAGCAUGAUAACUUGAUAGUGGGGAACUUUGUAGAUCGAAUGCAUGUGUUAUGUGAGGUAAAAACGAGUUUAUUGGCCAUAUGUAUAGCUUAUGGCUUGUCUUGGGAGGAGUUGCGAAAUGUAGGAGAAACAUGGAAUUCAAGGAUGUGGAUGUUUCUUGAAAUAGUUCUUGACCACCUUACACAAAAGGGGCAAAUUAGCUUAAACGACCCUUGGGAGGUCAUAUUUAGAAAGGUUACCAUGCAUAUAACAUAGAAAUAGUUGUCUUAAGAGAAGAGAGGGAAAUGAGGAUAAUUGAAGGUUCCUUUAAACCAUUGAUGAAAACUGGACAGAUUCAUCACCCUAAUUCCAAAGAGAAUUCGGGCCUAAAAAUGAUAAAGUUUGGGAAAAUUUUCUUGAUUUAAGUUAUAGCCAAGGAUGUUAGCUUUCCAAUGCGCCGACCUUGAUUAAUUUGGAGCUCUAAAACUCUAGAUAUAGAUAAAUAUCUGAGGAGAGGUCAAGCUACAACCUCGGCUGGCAAUUUCAACAAGUUGUCAAAACGGGAAAUUUAGUCAUAUUAGAGGCAGAAUCAGGUUCCCUUCCCUCGGAAAAUGUGUAGUGCCAUGUCUUGGUGUUCGAAAGGAAAUAAGCCAUAUUUGAAACUGAAUUUUUUAUGUUAAUUAUGAUUUGAUAAUGAACCGUAAUCUUAAAGGAUGGAAUAGAAAAGCAAAUGAAAAGGAAGCAAUUGUUAAAAUGGAGUCAAUAUUGUUGUUGUUGUGUGAAAUGUAACUUGAGUAAGAAAUAAUGUGGUAUGCCUGUGGAUUUAGAAGGGACGGCGAGAGGGGCACAACAGCAGCAAGGGAGUGCGAGCCGAGCUUCUAUAGCAAAUAGAUGUCCUAUACCUAUACCCUUCUUAAAUAUUUGUAACCUUGGAAAUUUGUUUAAUUCUUGGAUUAUAUACGUAUUGAUGUUGCCAAAAAGAGAAUCGAUCAGAUGAAAUAAAUGAGAAAUGAAAACAGACUUGACUAAUUGGUUUGGUUAGGAAUAGUGAACUAUAUUAGUGAACUUCAUUGAUAAUCGCUUCUUGAAUCUAAUUAGCCGGUCCCGAGUAUGGGAGGCUAAUGAUGUUAGUAAGGUUUACUAACAUCGGCAUGACCAUCCCAGAGAAUGAGGGAUACUAAACUUGAUUAACUAUUCGGUUUAAGAAUAGUUAAUGAUAUCGAUGGGUGACGUCGAUAUCGAUAAUCCUAUAAAACUUGAUUAGCUAUUCCUGAUGUGAAAGCUAAUGAUGUCAAGAAUCCUUGACAUCGGCAUUCCCAAAUAUAUUCCAAAGUGUUAUGGAAAAUUGAUUAACUAUUUCGGGUUAGAAAUAGUUAAUGACAUCAAUAGGUGGCAUUGAUAUCGACAUUUACAACAAACUUGAUUAGUCAGUUCUGGUAAGGGCGACUAAUGAUACUAAUGAGAAUCAUUAGUGUCGGCAUUACCAUCCUAAAGUUUUGGAAAGAAGUGGUUUGAUUAGUAAUCUCGGUGGAGAUUGGCUGAUGAUGAUAUCAGUGAAAUGAGUAUCGCUAUUUUUUAAAGAAUUGUUCCUUCAGCAUUAACAUAUGAUAUUGGUUGAAAUUUGGGAGGAAAAGGGGAAAUGUUUAGUGAUCCCCGAAGGGAUAAAUCUAGAAGCAUUAAAAAGAGACUAGAUGGGAAAUUGUAAAGAAUAUUUAUGAUAGUACGUAGCCUUGAAUAUUAUAUAUUGCUUAUUCUGUUUAACAUACUUGUCUCAAGAAAUAAGCUGUUGCAUUUGUCUCUCCAAAGCUAUUAUUGAUUGAUUAAUUCCUGCUGCCACCACCAUCUUCACUACCAUUACUAUUAUGCAUCGAUCUUCUCCAACUUACUAAUGUUAUUAAAUUCUUUCCCAGUUGGCAGAAAAUCAGUGAUCCUAAAAGUAUUGCAGAGAUAUUCAAACAUGUUUACACAGAUCAUUAUACAAAUAUCGACAAAGUGUUUUCUCGUAUUCUUGAGAUUACACAACAUCCUGCUGCUGCUGCAUCAUUUGCCUCGAUUAUGUUUGCUCCUCAGGGACCGCUAUCCUUCAGGGUAACUUUAGCCAGGCAGGCACUGCAUAACUCUUAUCUGCUCUUGAUAAGUCGCUCAUAUUCUUUCCUUUUUCUUGCUCCAACUGAAAGGUGUGAAGCCAGCUAUGAAACCAGCUAGGCAAGCACUAAUUAGUGCAACUUGCGGCACUAAUUAGUAUCAAUUAUUGCAGCACUAAUUAGUAUCAAUUAUUGCAGCACUAAUUAAUGUCAAUUAGUGCCACUUGCCUUGCUCUUAUCUUUUGCAAGACAAAGGCAAGGAUGCUUGCCUAUAAAUAGGCAGUGCAUCCUUGCCAUAGUAUACACACCACAAGAGAGAAACAAGAGAGGAAGAGAAGAGUGAGAGAGGGAAAGUAAUCCCACAAAAUUGUGAGGUAUUUGUGAGAGAGUAAGUGAGGUGUUUUCUCCUAUUAAUAGAGAGAUUUCAGUUGUUCUCCUAUUAGUAGAGAGAGGUUGUAAUUCUCACAUUACUUAGUAAAAUCCUUCUAUACUUGCCCGUGGACGUAGCCAAAUUGGGUGAACCACGUAAAUUCUUGUGUGUCUAAUUUCUCAUUUUAUCCUAUCAUUUGUCUUUUAUCUUGUCGGGUUUGCAUGCCAGUAUUUCUAACAGUGGUAUCAGAGCCUUCUGGUUGGUGUUGUUAAUACACAAAAGUUAUUCGUGUAUACGGUUACUAUUCACGUCUACGGCACUAUUCACCUAUACGACACUAUUCAUCCAUACGGUACUGUUCACAUACGCUACUGUUGGCGUAUAUAGAAAGCCAGUGCGGUGAUUAAAUACAGUCUAGGAAGUUCUGUCUAAGGAGAUUGGGUUUUAAGCGGGACCGUUUGUGACCCCUCCAAUCUUUCCUGGGAACUUACUUAGUGAAGUAUUAUUCACACGAUACUAUUUCUAUAUACGUUACAGAUCUGUGAAACGGUGAUAGCUGAAUAGAUCUCGGUGAAUACAAUGGCAGCAAAGUACGAGAUAGAGAGGUUCAAGGGGAGCAAUUUCUCACUGUGGAAAAUGAGAAUCAAGGCAAUCUUAAGGAAAGACAAUUGCUUGGCAGCAAUUGGGGAUCGGCCCGCGGAGAUCACUGAUAAUGCAAAAUGGAAUGAAAUGGAUGGCAAUGCUAUUGCUAACAUACAUUUAGCAUUAGCCGAUGAAGUAUUAUCAAGUGUGGCGGAGAAGAAAACAGCUAAGGAGAUAUGGGAGACUCUAACAAAGCUAUAUGAGUCCAAGUCUUUGCACAAUAAGAUUUUCUUAAAGCGGAGACUUUAUACCCUUCGAAUGGCAGAAACCACGGCGGUGACUGACCACAUCAACACAAUAAGAACUCUAUUUUCACAACUCACUACGUUGGGUCAACAAAUAGAGGAAAGUGAACGUGCAGAGCUUCUACUUCAAAGUCUUCCAGAUUCGUAUGAUCAACUCAUUAUCAACUUGACCAAUAAUAUCCUCACAGACUAUUUAGUCUUUGAUGAUGUUGCAGCCGCCAUCUUGGAAGAAGAAAAUAGGCGCAAAAAUAAAGGAGACAGAAAUAGUUCAAACCAAGCAGAGGCAUUGUUGGUGUCAAGAGGGAGAUCAACGGAGCGUGGCUCCAGUGGGAGUCAAAGGCAGGGGAGGUCCAAAUCAAGAAGUAAGAAGACUGUGAAAUGCUACAACUGUGGCAGAAAAGGGCACUUCAAAAGGGAUUGUUGGUUUAAAAAGGGUGUAGAGAACACUGCAGAGUCAUCAAAACCUCAAGGAUGUGUUGCGAGCACCUCAGAAGAUGGGGAGGUUUUAUAUAGUGAAGCAGCGACAAUCUCUACAGAUAGAGAAGAGCUUACCGAGGUCUGGCUAAUGGAUUCAGGAGCAACAUGGCAUAUGACUCCUAAUCGAGAUUGGUUCCAAACAUAUGAACCCAUCUCUGGAGGCAAAGUGUUCAUGGGUGAUAAUCAUGCUGUAGAGAUUGCUGGCAUUGGCACCAUCAAAUUGAAGAUGUAUGAUGGCUUAAUUCGCACUAUUUCAGGAGUGCGACAUGUGAAAGACUUGAAGAAGAAUCUUUUGUCCGUAGGACAAUUUGAUAGUCUUGGCUGUAAGAUUCGAACAGACAAUGGAAUCAUGAAAAUUGUCAAAGGAGCGCUGGUAGUUUUAAAGGCGAGAAAGACAGUUGCAAACAUGUUUGUAUUAAUGGGAGAAACACAUCAUGGGGCAGAAGCGUCAAUCGCAUCAGCCAGUCCUGCAGAAGAGAAGACGAUGAUGUGGCAUCAAAAACUAGGCCACAUGUCAGAGAAAGGUUUGAAAGUUCUCUCUGAUCAGAAGUUACUCCCUGGGCUUACAAAGGUUACUUUACCCUUUUGUGAGCAUUGUGUUACAAGCAAACAGCACAGGUUGAAGUUUGGCACAUCAACAACUAAGAGCAAAUGCAUCUUAGACCUGAUUCACUCUGAUGUUUGGCAAGCACCGGUUGUAUCCUUGGGAGGAGCAAGAUACUUUGUAUCAUUCAUAGAUGCCUUCUCCAGGAGAUGUUGGGUGUAUCCAAUUAGAAGGAAGGCAGAUGUGUUCGCAAUCUUUAAAACUUUCAAAGCGCGGGUGGAACUUGAAUCUGAAAAGAAGAUCAAGUGUUUGAGGACUGACAAUGGAGGAGAAUAUACCAGUGAUGAAUUUGAUAACUUCUGUCAACAUGAAGGUAUCAAAAGGCAGUUCACAACGGCAUACACUCCACAACAAAAUGGAGUGGCAGAGCGGAUGAACAGAACUCUAUUAGAAAGAACAAGAGCAAUGUUUAAGACUGCAGGUCUAGGAAAGUCAUUCUGGGCAGAAGCAGUCAAUACCGCCUGUUAUGUGAUAAAUCGAUCUCCGUCAACUACAAUUGAGCUGAAGACACCGAUGGAGAUGUGGACUGGAAAACCAGCUGAUUAUUCUCGAUUGCAUAUAUUUGGAAGUCCUGUGUACGUGAUGUACAAUACACAAGAAGUUAGCAAGCUGGAUUCAAAAUCCAGAAAAUGUAUAUUCUUGGGAUAUGCUGAUGGGAGUGAAGGGGUAUCGCUUGUGGGAUCCCACUGCCCACAAGGUAGUCAUCAGCAGAGAUGUUAUAUUUGCAGAAGAUAAAAUGCAAAUGGAAGAAAAUAAUAGCAUUUUAAAGGAGACUACAGAAGUCCAGAUGGAAAAUACUCAGAAGCGUACUUCUUCUGAAGCUGCACCAGAGCAUGAAGAACAAGAACAAAUAGAGUCUGAAACUCCUGAAGUUCGACGGUCAACUCGUGAAAGAAGACCACCGGCUUGGCACUCAGAAUAUGUUACUGAGAGCAACAUUGCAUACUGUCUUCUAACUGAGGAUGGAGAGCCAUCAACUUUCCAUGAGGCUAUCAAAAGCACAGAUGUAUCUAUGUGGAUGACAACAAUGCAAGAGGAGAUUGAAGCUUUGCACAAGAAUAACACUUGGGAUCUUGUUCCGCUACCACAAGGAAGAAAGGCCAUUGGCAACAAAUGGGUUUACAAGAUAAAACGUGAUGGCAAUGAUCAAGUGGAGCGGUAUCGUGCAAGAUUGGUGGUGAAAGGGUAUGCACAGAAAGAAGGGAUAGACUUCAAUGAGAUAUUUUCUCCGGUGGUACGACUUACUACAAUCAGAGUAGUCUUGGCAAUGUGUGCUAUAUUUGAUCUUCACCUAGAGCAGUUAGAUGUGAAAACUGCAUUUCUUCAUGGAGAACUUGAAGAAGAAAUUUAUAUGCUCCAACCAGAGGGUUUUGCUGAAACAAGCAAGGAGAACUUGGUUUGCAGGUUGAACAAAUCUCUAUACGGUCUCAAACAGGCAUCGAGGUGUUGGUACAAGAGAUUUGAUUCCUUCAUAAUUAGCCUUGGGUACAACAGACUCAGUUCAGACCAUUGUACGUAUUACAAGAGGUUUGAAGAAGAAGAUGUUUUCAUCAUUUUGUUGUUGUACGUGGAUGACAUGUUGGUAAUAGGCCCCAACAAAGAUCAAGUCCAAGAAUUGAAGGCACAGUUGGCUAGGGAGUUUGAUAUGAAGGACUUGGGACCAGCAAACAAGAUUCUAGGGAUGCAAAUUCACCGAGACAGAAGUAAAAGGAAGAUUUGGCUUUCUCAGAAGAAUUAUUUGAAGAAGAUCUUGCGUCGUUUCAACAUGCAAGAUUGUAAGCCAAUUUCCACCCUAUUUCCUGUUAACUUCAAAUUAUCCUCAAGUAUGUCUCCUAGCAAUGAAGUAGAGGGGAUGGAGAUGUCUCGAGUACCGUAUGCAUCAGUAGUGGGAAGUUUAAUGUUUGCCAUGAUAUGUACAAGACCAGACAUUGCACAAGCAGUGGGAGCAGCUAGUCGAUACAUGGCAAAUCCUGGUAGAGAGCAUUGGAAUACUAUUAAGAGGAUCUUGAGAUAUAUCAAGGGUACCUCAGAUGCCGCAUUACGUUAUGGAGGGUCAGAAUUUACUGUCAAAGGUUAUGUUGAUUCAGAUUUUGCUGGCGACCUUGAGAAAAGAAAAUCCACUACAGGCUAUGUGUUCAUAAUUGCAGGAGGAGCUGUGAGCUGGGUCUCUAAACUUCAGACUGUUGUAGCUUUAUCCACAACAGAAGUUAAGUACAUGGCAGCUACACAAGCUUGUAAAGAAGCAAUAUGGAUGAAGAAACUUAUGGAGGAGCUCGGACACAAACAAGAGAAGAUUCUUUUGUAUUGUGAUAGUCAGAGUGCUUUGCAUAUUGCAAGGAAUCCAGCAUUUCAUUCAAGAACAAAACACAUAGAUGUUCAGUAUCACUUUGUUCGCGAAGUGGUGGAAGAUGGAAGUGUGGAUUUUCAGAAGGUUCACACAAAGGAAAACCCAGCAGAUGUUUUGACCAAACCAGUCAAUAUUGACAAGUAUAUAUGGUGCAGAUCCUCCUAUGGCCUAACUGAAACGUAAGCAGCAUGAAGAUGGCAAGUAUACAAAGGAUAGAAGAAUCACAAAUGAUCAAGUGUGAAGACUUGAUUAAAUCAUCAAAGUCUUCAAGUGGGAGAAUGUGAAGCCAGCUAUGAAACCAGCUAGGCAAGCACUAAUUAGUGCAACUUGCGGCACUAAUUAGUAUCAAUUAUUGCAGCACUAAUUAAUGUCAAUUAGUGCCACUUGCCUUGCUCUUAUCUUUUGCAAGACAAAGGCAAGGAUGCUUGCCUAUAAAUAGGCAGUGCAUCCUUGCCAUAGUAUACACACCACAAGAGAGAAACAAGAGAGGAAGAGAAGAGUGAGAGGGAAAGUAAUCCCACAAAAUUGUGAGGUAUUUGUGAGAGAGUAAGUGAGGUGUUUUCUCCUAUUAAUAGAGAGAUUUCAGUUGUUCUCCUAUUAGUAGAGAGAGGUUGUAAUUCCCACAUUACUUAGUAAAAUCCUUCUAUACUUGCCCGUGGACGUAGCCAAAUUGGGUGAACCACGUAAAUUCUUGUGUGUCUAAUUUCUCAUUUUAUCCUAUCAUUUGUCUUUUAUCUUGUCGGGUUUGCAUGCUAGUAUUUCUAACAAAAGGCUCGUAGCUUAUUUGUGUUUCUAGGUGUAAAAUGAGCAAUUUUCCCAUUUGUCUCAUGUAUGGAAAAGAGGACCCCUGGGUGAAGCCUGUCUGGGCCCUUCAGGUGAAACAGCAAGUGCCUGAAGCUCCGUAUUAUGAGGUUAGCCCAGCUGGUCACUGUCCUCAUGAUGAAGUUCCUGAGGUAUGCAGCUCAUUGCUUACUAGCUUAAUGGCACUUUCUGUUGCCCAUCCCGUAGUUCAUGCUGUGAAGAUGGUGUUCAGGCUUAUAUUUGUGUGCGUAAAGAAAAGCUUUUUUCUAGGCAUCUCUGGCACGAGCUGAGCUAGAGUAGACAACUGUCGGAAGACAUUAUGCGAUGAUGUUCUGGAAAUAAAUACGUUUAUCUGAUGGGAAGUAGAAAACUCGAACAGGGGAAGAAUAGUUGUUGAAAUUAACUUCAAUGUCCAUACUAAUCCAGUGGGGAUAAUUUACAAGAAUCUUGCUGUUAUGAAUCAAUUUGAUACUACAAGUAACAUUUACAUGUAUAGGUUAAUGUUCUUUUUUUAUGCAAGAAUCUUGCUGUUAUGAAUCAAUUUAAUACUACGUUUUCUAGGAUUAGUUAAUGCAAUAAAAUCCUUUCUGCAAGGGGAUAAUGAAAUCUUAAGGCAUCCUAGAUUAAUCAUCAAGUUUUCCAAGAAGUUUACUAUUUUCUUUUUCUACUUUAUUUAUUUAUUUUUGUUUUUUCAAGAACAUGGCUUCUCUAAUGGCCCCUUUUACAACGCAUGAAAUUGAAAAUGAACAACGGCAAGAGAUUUCGUCCCACUAAAAAAAAUGAAAAUUAAAUAAAAUAAGGAUUUUUAUAAAAUGGUAUUUCAAAAGAGAAUUUCUUGACAAGGUGUGUAUAAUUUAAAAUUUUAAUUAUUAAGAUUCAAACUUAAAGAAUUAAAAAAUCAUUUUUUUAUACAAAUUUUCUCAUCAAAACAUAACUUUCUUUAAUUGAAAUUUUUUUAAAUGCACAAAAACUAGUUUAAUAAUACACUAAUAAUGAAACCCAUAUAAAUAAAUAAAUAAACUAACAGGAUCAGUUAAACAUUGUAUAUUAUAUUUGCUUUUACUGUGGAUUCAAAUAGUGUAAUAAUAAUUUUAGCUUUCUAAAAAAAAUAAAAAAAGCUUGUAAUUAGUGUGAAAUUAUCUUUUUUUUAAAGGAUUAAUUGGACAUUACAAAGCUUGGGGAUAAAUUAGUUUAUAUUUUUUUUUUGCAUAAUAAAAUUACUUUAUUGUCUUUAAAAACAAAAAUUAAUGUAUGCCUUUGGUCCCAAGGUUUUUAUGUUUUUUAAAUAUUAUUUGCAUAGUAAAAUUAUGUUGAUACCUUAACAGCAAAGAACAAUUAAACUUUCAUAAAAAGAUGUUUUUGUCUUUCUAUUUUUAUGAACAUUUAAGUUACAUAAUUACCCUUAAAUUCAAACAAAUUGUUCCAACGGCAUUUCAUGUUUUCCUUUUUUUUUUUUUGUUAUUUUUGGCUCUGAGAUAAGGGUUUUUUUGGUAAUUUUUAAAAAUAUUGUAAUAUUAUUAUAAAAAAAAGUUGUUGAUGCAUGACAACUCCGUAACACGUGUGGAGCCGUUUGAUUACCAAAAUCAAUUGUUCACAAUGACAUUUGGAGUGACAUUUUGUUCUCUUCGCAAUAAAGAGUUACAUCUUCACAAUAGAGGUGUGGUUAGGCUCUAGUGAUUUUUUUUUCUCUCUCCUAACUUAGGAAUUCAUGUCAUUCCUUUCAAAAAUUAAUUGUGUCGUCCAAUUUUUAUUUCUAUUGAUUUUGAUCAUCAUUCUUUUUUAUUACUAUUUGUUUUUCUUUUAGUACUUUUUUUGUUUAAAUUGUUUUCAAUUUCAUUUCUAGGCAUUAUAUUUCAUUUGGUUUUUUUAUCCAAUUUGAUCAUCAUUUUUUUAAUUGCUUAUUUUUUCAUGCUUUACCUUUUUCAACUUCAUCCCUCGUCAUUUUAUUUCCUUUAGUUUUUUUAUCCAAUUUUGGUCCUUAUUUUUUUGAUUGAUAUUUUCUUAAUUUAUUUUUAAAAAACUAAUCCCUAAUUAUUUUCUUUCAUAUGGUUUUUACAUCAAAUUUGGUCUUUAUUGUUUUGAUUACUAUUUGUUUUGUUUUUAAUUUUUUUUUAUAAUUGGAAAUUUUACUUCGUAAUUUUUUCAUGUCUGCCUUUUGAUAGGGAAAUCUCAGUGUCAAGACUCGGUUCACUAGUUUUGAAUAUUAUCCUAGUUUAAGUUGGAUCUUUUUUUUUAGAUCCUUUACUAAUUACUUUUCAAUUUCAUCAUUCGAUAUUAGAUUAUUAGGUCUUGAGCUUUGUUAGUUGUUUCACUUUUCUUUUUGUUAGUUUAUCCUAAUUUUAUAUAUCAGGUAGUGAGUUAGUCGAGUUAACUUAGGUAGACUUAAAUUAUUUUCUCGAUGUUUUUUUAUGAAAUUAAAUUUUUUUGUUCAAUUUUAUUAUUUGGAAUUAAAUUAUUGACCAUUGAGCUUUGUGAUUUUUUUUUGUGGUGUCAUCCUGAGUUCGGGUUAGUCAAGUUAACCCAGGUUAACUUAAUUUUUUUUAUGUUUUUUUUUAGUUUUGAUUUUUUUGCUAGGUUCUUUUUUAAAAAAUUUAUUUUUUAUUCUGAUCUUAUGUCGCAGGUGGCAGGUUGAUCAAGUUAAUUCGUGUUGACUUGAGUGUUUUUUUAACGUUGCUUUUUAAAAAAAAAUAAUUUUUUUUUAAUUUCAUUAUUUGACAUUAUAUUAUUGAGCCUUAAAUUUUAUGAUUAUUUUAUUUUAUUUUUUUAUAAAAUUAUAUUAAUCUCAUAUCUUGAAUCACUUAUUAUUCAAGUUAAUUCAUGUUAAUCGAGUUGUCAUCUUCUAAAUAUUUUUUAUGUUAUGAAAAGACUAAUCUAGUCCACAGCAUAGCAUGUAUAAUCUAUCAAAUAAAAUAUCAAAUAAAAUAAGUAAGUAAGUAAAUAAGGGUACAACGUUAGUAGCAAUUUUUUUAAAGAAAAAAAAUUAUUUAGGGAUGAAGCCAGUAAAGCAGCACCUAUGGUCCAUAACGGUUGGUCCGUUGGUCAGCCAAGAUUACAGUGCAAUAAACAAGAUUACAAGACCGAAUACGUUUCCGUAACAUAACGGUCGGUCCGUUGGUCAACCAAAUCCAUCCAAUCGGACCAGAUGACGAGGUAGCUGUCUCAGACGUUCCGGUCUGUAAAACUUAAAGCAUCCUCAUCAAAACCACCACCACCACAACAACAACAACCAUCCUCAUCCUCAUCAUUGCCCCGAUCAAGAAAAACACGAGCAAAAUCGAGCUCAAAUUCGAAAUCGAGAUCAUGGUCUGUGUAUCUUAUUCUCUCUACCAACCACCCGAUCAAGACUUACGUUGGUGUCACCACCAAUUUCUCUCGCCGGUGCGUUUAUUUCCUUGAUUCAAUUCUUAUUUUCUGAAAUUCAAUGCAAAUGCUUAUCUGGGUCAAUUUCAAUUUGUCUCUUACAAAUUGAAGGGGUGACGAAUCAUUUCACGACUUGAAUAAGUAAAUAAAAUAGUUCUCUAAUCAUGUCUGCAAUGGCAAGUUUGAUAACAUGCUAGUUAAUUUGGUAAUUGCUGAUGCCUUUCAACCAGAUGUAUUGACUUUUGUAUUGAGCACGGUCUCCGAUUGCCUCACCUGUGAAUUUCACAAAUGUGUUGUGUUAUUCUUGCUCAAGUAUGUGCAAUAUAGAAAUGAACGAAUGCAUACUUGUUGAACUUGGCGCUUUUUAAUGCAGCUUGAAACAACAUAAUGGCAAGCUUAAAGGAGGUGCAAAAGCAUCCCGUGCAGGAAGGCCGUGGAUUUGUGCUUGCAUAAUUCGCGGUUUUAAUGACCGAAGUGAAGGUAAUUUUCUUCUUUGUACCACUUUCACAAAUGCCAAUGAGAGUUAUUUUCAUACUCCUGUUCUUGAUUUUUCUUCUUGAUGUUUUGAUUUUUGGCAUGAAUUUGUUUAAUCUAUUGAUUUUUCUUCCUUUUAUUUUCUAUUUUGUAGCUUGCAAGUUUGAAUCAAAAUGGAAAAGCUUUUCAAGGAAAUUUCCUCGAAAAAGGAUAGAUGAUGACCAGAUGAAGUAGAGCAGGAAGGACUCGCACCGACUCCUGCAACAUAGGAAGACUGCCCUCGACAGGGUUAAAGGUUCAUUUGAUCUUAGUCACUUAGAAAUUGACUGGAAAUUGAAUACUUUCUGAUUUUGAUAAUAUGCAAUCACGUUCGACACAUUUUAAGUUAUAUUGCAUUCUUUGAGCGACACUAUUGCAUUUCACUCCUACCAUGAUUUGAUCAUUGUAUAUUUACACUUGACACAAUUCAAUAUAUUCUUUUCAUUGUAUUCACAAUAUCUUCCUUCAAUGUGACUCCAAUUAAGCAGUAUUUCAAAGUAAUAUAACCAUUUAUAGUCCAAAUACUGACAAGGUUACCAUUGAGACUUCACAGCAUUUCAAAUUCAUGUGGUCUGCUAAUGUAACACAUUUGAGAUUAUCUAUCACCUUCCAUAAUCUGUAUGAAUGACUCGAUCCGGUUGCUAGCAAUCUGAAAAAUAAAUCUGCAUUGUUCCCUCUUUUGAAGAGUCAGAGGGAACUUCCAAGCAUAAGGAUCCAGAAAUUGGAGUAUGUCAGUGUGCAUGAAGUUAC